This 509-nucleotide ribosomal RNA is filed under the name uncultured bacterium. RNAcentral describes it as "bacterial SSU rRNA". It matches the Rfam family "Bacterial small subunit ribosomal RNA", at positions 32 to 517 of the family's 1533-position model. The record is from RNAcentral.
AAUCAACGCUGCGGCGUGCCUCAGACAUGUAAGUCGAACGCGAAAGUCCCCUUCGGGGGACAAGUAGAGUGGCGCACGGGUGAGUAACACGUAGGUAAUCUACCUUCGGGUGGGGAAUAACGCAGGGAAACUUGCGCUAAUACCGCAUAAUGCAGCGGCACCACAUGGUGACAGUUGUUAAAGCGGGGGAUUUUCGGACCUCGCGCCUGAAGAGGAGCCUGCGGCAGAUUAGCUAGUUGGUAAGGUAACGGCUUACCAAGGCGACGAUCUGUAGCCGGCCUGAGAGGGCGGUCGGCCACACUGACACUGACAUACGGGUCAGACUCCUACGGGAGGCAGCAGUCGGGAAUUUUGGGCAAUGGGCGAAAGCCUGACCCAGCAACGCCGCGUGAAGGAUGAAAUCCCUCGGGAUGUAAACUUCGCAAGAAUAGGAAGAAUGAACGAGCGCUAACACCGUUCGUGAUGACGGUACUAUUUGUAAGCUCCGGCUAACUCCGUGCCAGCAGCCG